GGAGGGGUGCCCGAGUGGUUAAAGGGGACGGGCUGUAAACCCGUUGGCUAUGCCUACGUUGGUUCAAAUCCAACUCCCUCCACCA
RNAcentral lists this transfer RNA (85 nucleotides) under Hyphomicrobiales bacterium. Its description in RNAcentral is "tRNA-Tyr". It matches the Rfam family "tRNA". Rfam says of the family: Transfer RNA (tRNA) molecules are approximately 80 nucleotides in length. RNAcentral also lists the same sequence under 4 other names. Lineage: Bacteria; Pseudomonadati; Pseudomonadota; Alphaproteobacteria; Hyphomicrobiales. The record is from RNAcentral.